Phragmites australis (common reed) is the source of this 100-nucleotide small nucleolar RNA. RefSeq annotates it as small nucleolar RNA Z152/R70/R12. The transcript has a single exon. The record is from RefSeq and is a predicted model, not a curated record. NCBI's taxonomy places the organism in Eukaryota, Viridiplantae, Streptophyta, Magnoliopsida, Poales, Poaceae.
AGUGUGAUGAUGAGGUAGAUUACAGGUUUAGGCAGUGGUGGCCUCUUUGGUCGCCGUGAGCCAUCAAACCACAAAACGACUUCUCUUUCCACUGAGCAUU